RNAcentral lists this ribosomal RNA (497 nucleotides) under uncultured bacterium. RNAcentral's name for it is "partial 16S ribosomal RNA". It matches the Rfam family "Bacterial small subunit ribosomal RNA", at positions 28 to 507 of the family's 1533-position model. The record is from RNAcentral.
GAUGAACGCUGGCGGCGUGCCUAAUACAUGCCAGUCGAGCGAACAGACGAGGAGCUUGCUCCUCUGACGUUAGCGGCGGACGGGUGAGUAACACGUGGAUAACCUACCUAUAAGACUGGGAUAACUUCGGGAAACCGGAGCUAAUACCGGAUAAUAUAUUGAACCGCAUGGUUCAAUAGUGAAAGACGGUUUUGCUGUCACUUAUAGAUGGAUCCGCGCCGCAUUAGCUAGUUGGUAAGGUAACGGCUUACCAAGGCAACGAUGCGUAGCCGACCUGAGAGGGUGAUCGGCCACACUGGAACUGAGACACGGUCCAGACUCCUACGGGAGGCAGCAGUAGGGAAUCUUCCGCAAUGGGCGAAAGCCUGACGGAGCAACGCCGCGUGAGUGAUGAAGGUCUUCGGAUCGUAAAACUCUGUUAUUAGUGAAGAACAAAUGUGUAAGUAACUAUGCACGUCUUGACGGUACCUAAUCAGAAAGCCACGGCUAACUACGUG